RNAcentral lists this ribosomal RNA (255 nucleotides) under uncultured bacterium. Its description in RNAcentral is "partial 16S ribosomal RNA". It matches the Rfam family "Bacterial small subunit ribosomal RNA", at positions 524 to 776 of the family's 1533-position model. The record is from RNAcentral.
UACGUAGGGUGCAAGCGUUGUCCGGAAUUAUUGGGCGUAAAGAGCUCGUAGGCGGUUUGUCGCGUCUGCUGUGAAAACCCGAGGCUCAACCUCGGGCCUGCAGUGGGUACGGGGCAGACUAGAGUGCGGUAGGGGGAGAUUGGAAUUCCUGGUGUAGCGGUGGAAUGCGCAGAUAUCAGGAGGAACACCAAUAGCGAAGGCAGAUCUCUGGGCCGUAACUGACGCUGAGGAGCGAAAGCAUGGGGAGCGAACAGG